RNAcentral lists this ribosomal RNA (497 nucleotides) under uncultured bacterium. RNAcentral's name for it is "partial 16S ribosomal RNA". It matches the Rfam family "Bacterial small subunit ribosomal RNA", at positions 28 to 507 of the family's 1533-position model. The record is from RNAcentral.
GAUGAACGCUGGCGGCGUGCCUAAUACAUGCAAGUCGAGCGAACAGAUGAGGAGCUUGCUCCUUUGACGUUAGCGGCGGACGGGUGAGUAACACGUGGAUAACCUACCUAUAAGACUGGGAUAACUUCGGGAAACCGGAGCUAAUACCGGAUAAUAUAUUGAACCGCAUGGUUCAAUAGUGAAAGACGGUUUUGCUGUCUCUUAUAGCUGGAUCCGCGCCGCAUUAGCUAGUUGGUAAGGUAACGGCUUACCAAGGCUACGAUGCGUAGCCGACCUGAGAGGCUGAUCGGCCACACGGGAACGGAGACACGGUCCAGACGACUAAGGGAGGCAGCAGUAGGGAAUCUGCGGCAAUGGGCGAAAGCCUGACGGAGCAACGCCGCGUGAGUGAUGAAGGUCUUCGGAUCGUAAAACUCUGUUAUUAGGGAAGAACAAAUGUGUAAGUAACUAUGCACGUCUUGACGGUACCUAAUCAAAAAGCCACGGCUAACUACGUG